GAAGAAGGCGGAAUUCCUGGAGUAGCGGUGGAAUGCACAGAUAUCAGGAAGAACACCAAAAGCGAAGGCAGCCUUCUAGGCAGUUACUGACACUCAGGAGCGAAGGUGUGGGGCGCAAACAGGAUUAGAUAUCCUGGUAGUCCACACAGUCAACGAUGAUUACUAGGUUUUGGUGGGAUUAAAAUCAUCAGAGCUAAAGCAAAUGUAUUAAGUGAUCCGCCUGGGGAGUACGUCCGCAAGGAUGAAACUCAAAGGAAUUGACGGGGACCCGCACAAGCGGUGGAGCAUGUUCUUUAAUUCGAUGCAACACGAAGAACCUUACCUGGGAUUGACAUCCGUGGAACCGCUAUGAAAGUAGCGAGUGCUCACUUUGUGAGAACCACGUGACAGGUACUGCAUGGCUGUCGUCAGUUCGUGUCGUAAGAUGUUGGGUUAAGUCCCGUAACGAACGCAACCCCUGUCUUUAGUUGCCAGCAUUAAGUUGGGGACUCUAGAGAGACUGCCAAGGUGACAACUUGGAGGAAGGUGGGGAUGACGUCAAGUCCAUAUGGUCCUUACAUCCAGGGCGAGAAACGUGCUACAAUGGUUGGUACAAUGGGGAGCAAAAUCGCAAGAUUGAGCAAAUCCUCAAAACUAAUCUCAGUUCGGAUUGGAGUCUGCAACCCGACUCCAUGAAGUUGGAAUCGCUAGUAAUCGC
This 697-nucleotide ribosomal RNA is filed under the name uncultured bacterium. RNAcentral's name for it is "bacterial SSU rRNA". It matches the Rfam family "Bacterial small subunit ribosomal RNA", at positions 654 to 1345 of the family's 1533-position model. The record is from RNAcentral.